RNAcentral lists this ribosomal RNA (205 nucleotides) under uncultured bacterium. Its description in RNAcentral is "partial 16S ribosomal RNA". It matches the Rfam family "Bacterial small subunit ribosomal RNA", at positions 568 to 774 of the family's 1533-position model. The record is from RNAcentral.
UACGCAGGCGGUCUAAGAAGUCAGAUGUUAAAGCUAGGGCUUAACCCUAUAAAGCAUAUGAAACUGAUAGACUUGAGUAAAGGAGAGGAAAGUGGAAUUCCUGGUGUAGCGGUGAAGUGCGUAGAUAUCAGGAGGAAUACCGGUGGCGAAGGCGACUUUCUGGACUUUAACUGACGCUGAGGUACGAAAGCGCGGGGAGCAAACA